GAGGUAUUAGUAAAAUUAUUACAUAACUUUGUCAAAGUUAAGUUAAAGGCUAAAAUCCUUUAUAUCUCU
RNAcentral lists this transfer RNA (69 nucleotides) under Uropsilus investigator. RNAcentral describes it as "tRNA-Asp". It matches the Rfam family "tRNA". From Rfam's summary of the family: Transfer RNA (tRNA) molecules are approximately 80 nucleotides in length. Their secondary structure includes four short double-helical elements and three loops (D, anti-codon, and T loops). Lineage: Eukaryota; Metazoa; Chordata; Mammalia; Eulipotyphla; Talpidae. RNAcentral also lists the same sequence under 1 other name. The record is from RNAcentral.